Molecule: long non-coding RNA, 1870 nt
Organism: Colletes gigas
Lineage: Eukaryota; Metazoa; Arthropoda; Insecta; Hymenoptera; Colletidae
Exons: 5
Source: RefSeq, a predicted model, not a curated record
CCUUGAUGUGAGGCCACUCUUUGUCUUCCAACGGUUGCGAUGGUGUGGGUGCGGUGAGGCUUUUGGUCACCAGGGCUUCCAAUUGCAGCCGGAAACUGUCGUCGAGGGGUGACCGAAUGGUCACGUGAACCUCGGAUCGUGCCGUCCCCACGCUGGCUCCUUGAUACCCGGUGAGGUUGACCCGAACCGCUCGCCUCCGCAGCCUCAGAGAUUGCGCCGCCCACUCACUGAGGAAUGAGCAUUCCGAGCCGGAGUCCAGCAAGGCCCUAACUGCAUCGUGAAGAGUGGUGUGGUGCAGCCCGUCACACACCCAGCAGCGGAAGUUGGAGGUGCAGUUCUGGACCUGGUGACCGGCAGCUAAACACGAGAUGCAUACGCCCGAUUUCGUCACGAACGCUCGACGCUCGUUGUUCGUACGCGUGGGACCGGAGGGACUGCCACGACCUGUCAAGGGUACCUUUGGGGCGGCAGGUACAUCGAACUGGCGAGCCGAGGACAGAGCGUGGACCCGAUUUUCCAGGAACAUCUCCAAAGCGGCGAACUGCGGAAUCUCAAGUGGAUCGGUGAGCGAGACCUCCCAGGCCAGUCGCGUGGUUUGAUCCAGUUUUUCCGUCAGAAGGAAAACAAACCACUCGUCCCAUUCUUUGACGGGCUUGCCCAACGCCUUGAAGGCCUCCUGAGUUUGGCGGAACUCAUCCAGAAGCCGUUUGAUUUCUGACUGCGAGGUUUUCGUCGCAUGGGAGAUUUGAAUUAACCGUCUCAUAUGGGACGCGGACAGUAUGCGACGAUUGCCAAAACGCCUUUCCAGAGACGCCCACGCUCCGUCAUAAUUGCUCUCCGUGACGGGAGUCAGCAUGAGCAUUUUUGCUGCUUCACCGACAAGGCACGAUUUUAAAUAUUGUAGCUUACGUACCUUGGAGAUCCGCGCGGAGUUGUGGAUCAGGGAGCAGAAUUGGUCACGGAAGCUUUCCCAUUGGAAGAGAUCUCCCGAGAAGGUGGGAAGGUUGAUCUGCGGCAGAGCUGGUUCCGGAUCUUGAACGGUUGGAGGUGGUUUAGAGGUUCCUGGAUGGUCCACGGUCGACGCGUUCAUGGUCGCAACCCAUUCAUCGAUGACUGCCCCUUGGUCGAUGUACUCCUCUUCCACCUCCGAAAAGUAAUCUGUGGUAAAGAGCUUCUGCCUCCGCUUGAGUAAGGAGAGAGAUAGGCUUUCCUUCCCAGUUUUUUUCAAAUUGGUUAAAAAACGGACUAUUCGUCCACCCAGUUCUCGUUGGGCGGACACGAGUUCGGUUGAAUUAGUCGGCAUACCGGACAAGUUUAAAAGAAACGACGACCGUUUAGUUCAAACGACGAAAAACACACACAGCACUGUCGACGAACUACGGGUCCGAAUGGAGGUUGUUCGGAGGAUCGAGACGGCGAAGAUUCGCGCAGAAGCUCGAUUAUUGCAAAAAACGGUUCGUCUCGACGAACCCACGCACAAGAACGGGAAACGGCACUCCGCACUGGGUGUCGAAAAACGAUAUCCGGCUCGAAGGACCAAAUGUUUCGAAUAAAAUGGGUUUUCCGUGGUCGGAAACUUGCCAACUUAUUCUGCGUUUUGAAUAUCAACGGAACGAGGAGGUCACAAGAGAAAACAGACGCUAAACUCGCUGGUCGAAACAAUACGGUUGAGUGCGAUCAGCUGUAACGCGCGCUAUCGCUCGACGCUCUCCUCUUGCCCCACUCCCCGGAGAGCCCGAGCUGCUCGAUCCACCCGUGGUGCUCGCGGGGUCUGGGGGGAGAGGCGCUGAGCCCGCGGCAGCGCACGCGCUGUCGAUCAACCGGUGACAUUUAUUUAGAUAAUGUACAGUUUGUUAAAAUGGUAAUAAAU